This 253-nucleotide ribosomal RNA is filed under the name uncultured bacterium. RNAcentral's name for it is "partial 16S ribosomal RNA". It matches the Rfam family "Bacterial small subunit ribosomal RNA", at positions 524 to 776 of the family's 1533-position model. The record is from RNAcentral.
UACGGAGGGGGCUAGCGUUGUUCGGAAUUACUGGGCGUAAAGCGCGCGUAGGCGGAUCUGCAAGUCGGGGGUGAAAUCCCGAGGCUCAACCUCGGAACUGCCUUCGAUACUGCGGGUCUCGAGUCCGGGAGAGGUGAGUGGAAUUCCUAGUGUAGAGGUGAAAUUCGUAGAUAUUCGGAAGAACACCAGUGGCGAAGGCGACUUACUGGACACAUAUUGACGCUGAGGUGCGAAAGCGUGGGGAGCAAACAGG